RNAcentral lists this ribosomal RNA (434 nucleotides) under uncultured bacterium. RNAcentral's name for it is "partial 16S ribosomal RNA". It matches the Rfam family "Bacterial small subunit ribosomal RNA", at positions 29 to 507 of the family's 1533-position model. The record is from RNAcentral.
AGCGAACGCUGGCGGCAGGCCUAACACAUGCAAGUCGAACGAACCUUUCGGGGUUAGUGGCGGACGGGUAAGUAACACGUGGGGACGUGCCUUUAGGUUCGGAAUAACUCAGGGAAACUUGUGCUAAUACCGAAUGUGCCCUUCGGGGGAAAGAUUUAUCGCCUUUAGAGCGGCCCGCGUCUGAUUAGCUAGUUGGUUGAGGUAAUGGCUCACCAAGGCGACGAUCAGUAGCUGGUCUGAGAGGAUGAUCAGCCACAUUGGGACUGAGACACGGCCCAAACUCCUACGGGAGGCAGCAGUGGGGAAUCUUGCGCAAUGGGCGAAAGCCUGACGCAGCCAUGCCGCGUGAAUGAUGAAGGUCUUAGGAUUGUAAAAUUCUUUCACCGGGGACGAUAAUGACGGUACCCGGAGAAGAAGCCCCGGCUAACUUCGUG